UACGAAGGGGGCUAGCGUUGCUCGGAAUCACUGGGCGUAAAGGGUGCGUAGGCGGGUCUUUAAGUCAGAGGUGAAAUCCUGGAGCUCAACUCCAGAACUGCCUUUGAUACUGAGGGUCUUGAGUAUGACAGAGGUGAGUGGAACUGCGAGUGUAGAGGUGAAAUUCGUAGAUAUUCGCAAGAACACCAGUGGGCGAAGGCGGCUCACUGGGUCAUUACUGACGCUGAGGCACGGAAAGCGUGGGGAGCAACAGGG
Molecule: ribosomal RNA, 255 nt
Filed under: uncultured bacterium
Lineage: Bacteria
Description: partial 16S ribosomal RNA
Rfam family: Bacterial small subunit ribosomal RNA
Source: RNAcentral